Lolium rigidum is the source of this 501-nucleotide long non-coding RNA. RefSeq lists it as uncharacterized. NCBI's taxonomy places the organism in Eukaryota, Viridiplantae, Streptophyta, Magnoliopsida, Poales, Poaceae. The record is from RefSeq and is a predicted model, not a curated record. The transcript has 4 exons.
GCUUCGUUAGUACCAGGACUUCCAGCCAUGCUCCCCACAUCUGGCAUCAUGAAUAUAUAUAGUUGGAUCUUCAACAUUAGAGAAGACAAAUGCAUAAUCUGUGAUUAGGAAAGUUGAACAAGACAGUAGGAUCUCAAAGUGUUCUUACAACGUAAAUUCUGUGUGGCAGAUGAUUCAGUUACUUCGUCAUUGACGCCAUCAGAUGCAACUUUAUUCUGGAGACCGUUUAUUCCUCCCGUCCAUAUGUACUCCAUGUUGAUGAUGAUCAAUGAUUGCUGCGGCACCAACUGCACCUAGUGAACCAGAGUGUGCAUGCUUCUUGGUCAUGGUCAAGAGUAGUCAUGUUUGAAUACUUCUUCUGUUGGCGGGCUAUACGGCGCUUUUCGAGGAUGCAGGUGAAGUCGCGCCGGCGACGUGCUGACCCUGAGAGGGAGACACGAUCCCAGGUUACAGGUGUGGGGGUGGCGCAGUCGCAGAGAGAGGAAGAGAGCCUCGACAAGG